Long non-coding RNA from Anopheles merus, 517 nucleotides. RefSeq lists it as uncharacterized. Lineage: Eukaryota; Metazoa; Arthropoda; Insecta; Diptera; Culicidae. The record is from RefSeq and is a predicted model, not a curated record. The transcript is spliced from 2 exons.
UGGAGUUGGCUUGUUGUAUUGGUGGUGAAGUUUGUUCUACGCUUUGUCGGCCUUAUUCUUUCAUUUCUUCGCAACUCUCCGAGCUGAAAAGAGGUUUUCUGGAAACUUUAACCACAUCACAACUUCGCGUUACUUCUAUCCAGCCUCACCGUGCCGGCAAAGACGAUCGGUGUAAUAUUCUCCGUGGCGUAAGAUAAUGGCGUACCAGACCAAGGCUGCCGAAAACAUUCUACUCUACCAAUCUGAUACAUUUUGUUGCCGUACCAUGGAGCGCCCUGCUACGAAAGCAGGCGGCCUUCUCGUAUGGCAACAAAAUUAUCAGAAAUUUAAGUGGUUGUUUCAUGAUGAUGAUCCACAUUACUUUAAGGCGCACGCAUACUGUUGAACAUACGGAGAAUUCGAGGGAAAAUGAACUUGAUUUGGAACUAUACUGAGACAUGUGAAAUAUGAAAUGAAAUUGUGAACAGCUGCAUUUCGACGAUAGAGUGAAGCAGAAAUACAAGAAUUAAGAACCGAA